RNAcentral lists this microRNA precursor (88 nucleotides) under Trypanosoma vivax Y486. The record is from RNAcentral. Lineage: Eukaryota; Euglenozoa; Kinetoplastea; Trypanosomatida; Trypanosomatidae.
GGUGGAUGAUGAUGAUGAUGAUGAUGACGACGACGAUGAUGCGGCCUCUGCGCCGUCUUUGUCUUCCACGUCGCCGUUAUCCUUUUGU